CUUCUCUCAUCCCACACAGAAGAAAGGUUCAACGUGCUCUUUGGGUGGAGUCCCUCGUCCAAAAAAGAGUCGUUGAUGAUGCGAUGGGCGAGGAAGCACAGGGACCUUGUGGAUCAGGUUUUGGUACGGGAGCUCCAAGCAGAGGAAUCUAGCUGGACACAAUAUGAUGAGGAUGAAGCAUCAGUGAAAGUACAAGUUGCAAGUGAAAUCCUUGAUGACCUCGUCUCAGACACUGUCACAGUUUUCACGGAAAUCAUAGCAAGGAAGAUGACACUUAUUGGAAGAUAGGAAGUCUUUCAUAUGGAAAGAGAUUUCUUCAGUGUCUUAAUUUUGCCUCUGAUUACACUGCAUAGCUGGUCAGACAAUUUCAAUGUUUACAUAUUUUACUUUAAUUAAUUUCUUCAUUAGGGCUUUCAUUUUCUGCACCACUCUUGUGUAUUAGUUUAAAUGUUACAUUGGUAAACAAACACAACCGUCCAGUUUUACCUCUACAACAACAAAAAAAGACUACACUUGCCAUGAGAAAUGGUACGUUUCCGUAAACAAUACUGUGUUAGGGAUUUGAGUACUAACAUUACAAGCACUGUGAUAUUUCAGGUGUGUCAAAGGAUUUGUUUUGAAAGUGAAGCUCAUUUGGAUAAUGCUUUAUCACCAGUAACGACUGCCUUAAUGUAAAGUUAGUAUAUGUGAAAAAGGCAUUUAUGAGGUGGUAUAUGCCAUUGAGUUUGCAUUUUUUAAAACAUUUUCCGCAUUUUGUGUGAUAGAAGUUAUUUUUUAGCAAUAUCAAUAACUUUUUUGUUUUAAGAUUGCUGCGUAUUGUUUUUGUACAAUCCAAAAUAAAUUUGUAAGUGAU
Penaeus vannamei (Pacific white shrimp) is the source of this 853-nucleotide non-coding RNA. Lineage: Eukaryota; Metazoa; Arthropoda; Malacostraca; Decapoda; Penaeidae. The record is from RefSeq and is a predicted model, not a curated record.